UGCGAGCACGACAGGUUAAUCCGAGUGGUUUCUGCUAAAGGAACCUUUUGUUAGUCCUAGAAACACUAACGAAUAAGGGGUGGGCAAGUUCUGGUGUCAGCCGCCGCGGUAAAACCAGCACCUCAAGUGGUCAGGAUGAUUAUUGGGCCUAAAGCAUCCGUAGCCGGCUCUGUAAGUUUUCGGUUAAAUCUGUACGCUCAACGUACAGGCUGCCGGGAAUACUGCAGAGCUAGGGAGUGGGAGAGGUAGACGGUACUCGGGAGGAAGUGGUAAAAUGCUUUGAUCUCUCGAUGACCACCUGUGGCGAAGGCGGUCUACCAGAACACGUCCGACGGUGAGGGAUGAAAGCUGGGGGAGCAAACCGGAUUAGAUACCCGGGUAGUCCCAGCUGUAAACUAUGCAAACUCAGUGAUGCAUUGGCUUGUGGCUAAUGCAGUAUUGCAGGGAAGCCGUUAAGUUUGCCGCCUGGGAAGUACGUACGCAAGUAUGAAACUUAAAGGAAUUGGCGGGGGAGCAC
Molecule: ribosomal RNA, 517 nt
Filed under: uncultured crenarchaeote
Lineage: Archaea; Thermoproteati; Thermoproteota
Description: bacterial SSU rRNA
Rfam family: Archaeal small subunit ribosomal RNA
Source: RNAcentral